GUGAAGUUUUAUUCUUGCUUUUUCAUUCAGUAUUUAUUUGUUCUAUAUGUAAGUUUGUGCGUGUUUUACCAUGGCUCUAGAUGGGUUGAUGGAGUAUGGGGUUAGUAAUUCUCAUUAGUUAUUAUUGGUUGUUCAAGUAUCCUUGUAUUUAGCAAUAUUUUUUAGUCUCGGUUAAAUUUUGUGCCAGCAGCCGCGGUUAUACCUUGGAGGUGUUUGAAUGUGUUUGGCAUCAGGUAGUUAUAUUGUUUAGUUUAAAUUGAUUAUAUUUUGUUUGUUGUUAGGUGAAAUUUUUAUUAUUUUUAAUUUUCUUGUUUUAUAUUUGGAAGCUAUGAAAUUCUUUUUGUAGACUAGGAUUAGAUACCCUAUUAUUUUAGAGUGUUAAUUGUUUGUUGUGCCUGAGUAGUAUUAGUUAUGUUCUUGAAACUUAAAGAAUUUGGCGGUAUCUCAUUCCGUCCAGAGGAAUCUGUCUCGUUAUCGAUAGUCCACGUUGGACCUUACUUAGUUUCUUUGGUUUGUAUACCGCCGUUUAUUGAUUAUCCUUUUAGGGUUUGCUUAAUUUUCUAGUUCCUUUAUUUUGGUUUAUUUCAGGUCAAGGUGCAGCUUGUUUCUAAGUGAAUGAUGGAUUACAUUGCUAUUUGUUUUAUGGAUUAUUGGUUUUAAUAUUGGUAUGAAAUUGGAUUUGGUUGUAAUUAUUUGUAGAUUGUUAUUGUGAUAAAUGGUUCUGGGAUAUGUACACAUCGCCCGUCGCUCUCGUUUUAUUGUUAAUGAGAUAAGUCGUAACAAAGUGGUUGUACCGGAAGGUGCGGCUGGAUUGUA
RNAcentral lists this non-coding RNA (816 nucleotides) under Microcerotermes crassus. The record is from RNAcentral. Lineage: Eukaryota; Metazoa; Arthropoda; Insecta; Blattodea; Termitidae.